AGCGGGGUGGAGCAGUUAGGAGUGCUCGUCGGGCUCAUAACCCGAAGGUCCAUGGUUCAAAUCCAUGCCCCGCUA
This 75-nucleotide transfer RNA is filed under the name Thermodesulfobacteriota bacterium. RNAcentral's name for it is "Thermodesulfobacteria bacterium tRNA-Met". It matches the Rfam family "tRNA". From Rfam's summary of the family: Transfer RNA (tRNA) molecules are approximately 80 nucleotides in length. Their secondary structure includes four short double-helical elements and three loops (D, anti-codon, and T loops). Lineage: Bacteria; Pseudomonadati; Thermodesulfobacteriota. The record is from RNAcentral.